Molecule: transfer RNA, 72 nt
Filed under: Candidatus Roizmanbacteria bacterium
Lineage: Bacteria; Candidatus Roizmaniibacteriota
Description: tRNA-Ile
Rfam family: tRNA
About the family: Transfer RNA (tRNA) molecules are approximately 80 nucleotides in length. Their secondary structure includes four short double-helical elements and three loops (D, anti-codon, and T loops). Further hydrogen bonds mediate the characteristic L-shaped molecular structure. tRNAs have two regions of fundamental functional importance: the anti-codon, which is responsible for specific mRNA codon recognition, and the 3' end, to which the tRNAs corresponding amino acid is attached (by aminoacyl-tRNA synthetases). tRNAs cope with the degeneracy of the genetic code in two manners: having more than one tRNA (with a specific anti-codon) for a particular amino acid; and 'wobble' base-pairing, i.e. permitting non-standard base-pairing at the 3rd anti-codon position.
Source: RNAcentral
GCGCGCUUAGUUUAACGGCAAAACGUCGUCCUGAUAAGACGAAGACCGAUGGUUCGACUCCAUCAGCGCGCA